CAGCCGUAAACUAUGCUCGCUAGGUGUCAGGGACGGUGCGACCGUUUCUGGUGCCGCAGGGAAGCCGUGAAGCGAGCCACCUGGGAAGUACGGUCGCAAGGCUGAAACUUAAAGGAAUUGGCGGGGGAGCACUACAACGGGUGGAGCCUGCGGUUUAAUUGGACUCAACGCCGGAAAACUCACCGGGGGCGACAGCAGAAUGAUGGCCAGGUUGAUGACCUUGCUUGACAAGCUGAGAGGUGGUGCAUGGCGUAGUCGUGU
This 261-nucleotide ribosomal RNA is filed under the name uncultured archaeon. RNAcentral describes it as "partial 16S ribosomal RNA". It matches the Rfam family "Archaeal small subunit ribosomal RNA", at positions 748 to 1009 of the family's 1478-position model. The record is from RNAcentral.